Molecule: ribosomal RNA, 439 nt
Filed under: uncultured bacterium
Lineage: Bacteria
Description: partial 16S ribosomal RNA
Rfam family: Bacterial small subunit ribosomal RNA
Source: RNAcentral
CUACGGGGUGCUGCAGUGAGGAAUAUUGCACAAUGGGGGGAACCCUGAUGCAGCAACGCCGCGUGGAGGAUGACGCAUUUCGGUGUGUAAACUCCUUUUAUAUGUCAAGAAAAUGACGGUAGCAUAUGAAUAAGCGCCGGCUAACUCCGUGCCAGCAGCCGCGGUAAUACGGAGGGCGCAAGCGUUACUCGGAAUCACUGGGCGUAAAGGACGCGUAGGCGGGUUGAAAAGUCAGGUGUGAAAGCCUACAGCUUAACUGUAGAACUGCACUUGAAACUCUCAAUCUAGAGUAUGGGAGGGGCAGAUGGAAUUAGUGGUGUAGGGGUAAAAUCCGUAGAUAUCACUAGGAAUACCUAAAGCGAAGGCGAUCUGCUGGAACAUUACUGACGCUAAGGCGUGAAAGCGUGGGGAGCAAACAGGAUUAGAUACCCCGGUAGUC